RNA transcript from Vespa velutina, 3258 nucleotides. It is a transcript of the gene named ATP-dependent (S)-NAD(P)H-hydrate dehydratase, with no coding region annotated. The transcript is spliced from 4 exons. The record is from RefSeq and is a predicted model, not a curated record. NCBI's taxonomy places the organism in Eukaryota, Metazoa, Arthropoda, Insecta, Hymenoptera, Vespidae.
ACGAAAAUUGAUGUCUUCUUGAAUAUAAGUCGAUAAAACAGUUCGAUAUGUUUGAUGAUAUCAACAAUUUGGUUAAUUUCAAGGAAUAUAAUAUAAAAGAAGAAAAUUUAAGAAUUUAAAAUUAUGAAUAUUGGAAUUUUUCGUGGUAUACGCUUUAAUUUUAUUGGUAUAUCAGCCAUGUCUACAUGGAUAUCCGCAGACGAACGUAUGUUAAAAAUAAUAAGGAAGAUAGUACCAAAUUUGACCAAUACUAAAUAUAAAGGUCAAGAUGGAAGAAUAGGAAUAUUCGGUGGUAGCUCGGAUUAUACUGGAGCACCAUAUUUCACGGCAAUGAGUGCUCUUAGAACUGGCGCAGAUUUAGUGCAUAUAUUUUGUGUAAAAGAUGCUAGUACACCUAUUAAAUCUUUUAGCCCAGAACCAAUUGUACAUCCGGUUUUGGAUCAAUACGAUGCUAUGAAACAUAUAAAGCCCUGGUUGGAUCGUUUGCAUAUUAUUAUCAUUGGGCCAGGACUUGGAAGAGAUGAUAAGAUUCUUAAAGUCAUAGUUGAAUUGAUUUCUAUCUGCCGUGAAUUAAAAAAACCAUUGAUAAUAGACGCAGAUGGAUUAUUCUUAAUAUUUCAAAAACCUGACAUAAUCAAGGAUUAUCCAGAUCUAAUACUUACACCUAAUGCUAUGGAAUUUAGUCGAUUAGCUAAGUCUGUAUUAAAAAAAUCGAUUCAACCUUCUCCAAUGGUUAAGCCUGCGGAUGUAAAAGAAUUGGCGGAUACUCUUGGAAAGAAUGUUGUCAUUUUACAUAAAGGAGCAAAAGAUAUUAUAGCGGAUGGACAUGAAGGCACUGAAACUAUAUCAUGUGGCAUGGCUGGUUCCGGACGACGAUGCGGUGGUCAAGGAGAUCUUUUAGUUGGAUCCGUAGCUGUUUUUUGGUGGUGGGCCAUUUGUGGUGUAACUUGUGAUUCCACUAUAUCACCUUCGGUAUUAGCAUGUUACGCAGGAUCAAGAUUAAUUAGAGAAUGUAAUUCAGCUGCAUAUAAAAUUAAACAAAGAGCCACUUUGACAAGUGAUAUGUUGGAACAAAUACAAAAUGUUUUUGCUAGAAUUUUUGAAACUCAUGGCAACAAAACUUCGUCAUUCAAUGGGAGAAAUCGAUUAUUGCAAAAUGUUGAUAAUUAAAAACAUUGGAUCAUGUUUAAAUGAAAUUUUUAGAAUACACGAGAUAUAGUAUACUAAAGAAUAUUAAUAAAUAUAAUGUUAUUUUAUGACAAAUUAUAUCAUAUGCAUGCAUUUAGCAUUGUUAAUAUCUUAGAUAUGGAAAAGUUAUAAAUAAUAAGAUUGUCAAUAAAAUAUUUUGUACAUUUUAUACUCUAAGAGUAUUUAAGGAACGAAAUAAGAUCAGUACAUUGGUAAUUAAAUUUUUAAAGAGAAAUCUACUUAUAUAUUCAUAAUAAUGAUAAUAUUGGUAAUAAUAAAAAUAUUUUUUUUUUCUUUUUCUUGUUUAUACAAAACUUUUAGAUUUUGCAUGAUCAUACAAGAAUUAUAGAAAUUUAAUGGUCACCCGUACAUAAAUAUUAAGAAGAGAAAAAUUUGUCAUACAACAACAUUUAUGUGAUUUAUCACAAGAAAUACAUAUCUAAUAUCAUUUGUAAGAAUGAUGCUGUAGAUUUCAGCCAUGAUAUUUUUAAAAAUGUACAUUGAUCUCCUUCCAAGAGUUCACUCUCUUUUGUGCGUAAGAUUAAUAAUAAUAAUAAUAAUAAUAAUAAUAAUAAUAAUAAUAAUAAUGAGUACGUAUGAUAUAUAAAAAGGAGAAGAGGUAAAAAGAGAUGUGCAACUUGCACAUCGUUAAAAGAGAGAUUUGGCAUUAAUAUCUUAAAAAAUACUGCCUAUUUAUGUCAAGUAUGAUGCCCGCUAAAAUUUCUUUUUCGAACAUCAUUCAAUUUAAGCCAUUAAUAAUACUAAUAUCAAUAACCUAAUUUAUCAUUUAUAGACUACGAAUAAAAUGUCAGUACCGAAAUAUGAUUUCCCCUUAUUAAAAGAGUUGGUGGCAUGUCACGAGUUAAUGCUUCUAACCAUGCCAUGUAUAAGGGUGCUGACACUGCACCUUUUCUUGGCAUUGGUAAUGACCUGUAAAUUAUAUUAAAUUUAAUUAAUUAUUAUCCUCUUUUAGACAAUAUCACCAUCGGACUAAAACUAUCAUGAAUAAUAACGUACAUUACUACUAAUGUGGAUUGACUUGAAUUCUCCAAAAGUAAUUCUCGAAGUCUCAAUUGUCGAUUAGUUUUGUCUCGUAAUGUUUGUAAUUCAAGAUCAGUGACGCAGCAAUCUAGAAAAAAAGAUUUCAUUGAUGAUUUCGCUAGAUAAUCAUUUUAUUUAUGAUUAUAUAUAUAUAUGAUAAAUGAUCAAACCUGAAUUAUCGGUAGGAUCAUUUCUUUGAAAAUCAGAUAUAAGUUUAUCAAAGAAAUUUUUUGUAUCCUGUCGGGGAGCAAUACUGAUAUCAUCUACCAUUUUUAAACUCGUAUAUUUGAUUCGAAAUUUAGCCAUGAUUUCAGCCAUUCUGUAGAUAAAACAAAUCUUUGAAGCAAAAAUAUAAAAAAGACGGAUUAGUAUAAGUAUUGAAAAAAAAAAAAAGAAAAAAAAAUCUUACUCCUUCUCUUGAGCCUCAAUCUCUUGUUUGUGAUUGGCCAAAGCAAAGAUUCUCAUCUUACAAUGUUCCCAAUUAGAACGUGUACUGAUAAUAUAUGGCAAAAGAAUUGUCAAACCUAAUGAAAUGGAACAGAAUUGCAUAGAGUAUAAAGAAUGAUCUUUCAUAAUUUAAUAAUGAAUAUUUAUUUCUUGGAUUACCUCCAUCAUCGUAAAGCCACCAUACGUCAAUUACUCCUUUCUUAUGUUUUUUUUGGAAAAUUGUCAUGUGUUCUGGCAACACUGGCAUUCCAUUUCGUUUUUCACUAAAAUAUGAAGAAAUCAUGCUGUAUAAUAUAACAUGUGUGUGCGCGCGCGUGCUCGCAUACUGUUUGUGUAUACUUUUCUUUUUUUUUUUUUUUUUUCCCCUGAAAAUAUUUGAAAUUCACGAUAACAAAUAUUUGAAACUUACGAAAGUAAUUUAUCAGUAGCUUGUUUUUUCUUCUGUUUAAUAUGGUCACGUGCAUUCCAAUGAGUAGGAGAUUCUCUAAUUAUAUUUGGUCCCUCCACUAUAGUAAAUUGUGUUCCUACUCAUAGAUACAAUGAAAAUAUUGAUAAUUAUAUUGUUCAAUGUAAUAUUUAAAU